GACAGAGGGUGCAAACGUUGUUCGGAAUUACUGGGCGUAAAGCGUGUGUAGGCGGCUCCGCAAGUCGGAUGUGAAAGCCCCGGGCUCAACCCGGGAAGUGCACCCGAUACUGCAGGGCUUGAGUGUCGGAGAGGUUGGUGGAAUUCUCGGUGUAGAGGUGAAAUUCGUAGAUAUCGAGAGGAACACCUGUGGCGAAGGCGGCCAUCUGGACAGAUACUGACGCUGAGACGCGAAAGCGUGGGGAGCAAACAGG
This 253-nucleotide ribosomal RNA is filed under the name uncultured bacterium. RNAcentral's name for it is "partial 16S ribosomal RNA". It matches the Rfam family "Bacterial small subunit ribosomal RNA", at positions 524 to 776 of the family's 1533-position model. The record is from RNAcentral.